Molecule: transfer RNA, 75 nt
Filed under: Planctopirus ephydatiae
Lineage: Bacteria; Pseudomonadati; Planctomycetota; Planctomycetia; Planctomycetales; Planctomycetaceae
Description: tRNA-Val
Rfam family: tRNA
About the family: Transfer RNA (tRNA) molecules are approximately 80 nucleotides in length. Their secondary structure includes four short double-helical elements and three loops (D, anti-codon, and T loops).
Source: RNAcentral
UCGUCCUGUGGCCUAGCGGCGAAGGCAACUGUCUUACAAACAGUCGAUCGACAGUUCGAGUCUGUCCAGGACGAU